Anolis carolinensis (green anole) is the source of this 93-nucleotide microRNA precursor. Ensembl annotates it as aca-mir-24-1. Its record names the gene aca-mir-24-1. The record is from Ensembl. Lineage: Eukaryota; Metazoa; Chordata; Lepidosauria; Squamata; Anolidae.
UGCAGGGCUUGGCCUUCCGUGCCUACUGAGCUGAUACUCAGUUGCUUUAGAUAAACUGGCUCAGUUCAGCAGGAACAGGAGUCCAGCCCAGUC